Molecule: non-coding RNA, 874 nt
Organism: Bactrocera oleae (olive fruit fly)
Lineage: Eukaryota; Metazoa; Arthropoda; Insecta; Diptera; Tephritidae
Source: RefSeq, a predicted model, not a curated record
CUCUAAUACUUUCUGGUAAUAAAAUAUAUCAAUUUAAGCUUUAACAACUUGUUACGUGUACUUCAUGAUUCUACCUUAUCACAAAUGCCACAAACACUUGGUGAGCAUCAUAGCCUUAAUUCAAAUGCAUUAACACCAAAUUCACCACAAAUAAUGAGCCAAAUGUUUCAGCCGGCAGAGAGAAAUAGUUCAAAACAAUUAAAAUAAACUGAAAGAAUAAACAUUCGAAAUUUAUGAACUCCACACGUACGCGGCGAGACGAGUUGAUUUCGGCCAAACAAACAUGAACGCGAGUGUGAGUGUGAACGUGAGCAAAAUGCACUUGAUUUAGGCCGCAAAGCAGCAGCUAUACUUUUCAAAGGAAGCUUCAUAGAAUUUUUGGUGGUUGCUGUUUGGAUUUAAACAUAUGUUUCAUCUUACGGAGAAGGCCGGAAACACCGCAGCAGUGGGGAACGUUUUUAGCGCACAAUUUGUAGAACAAUGCAUUUUAUUUAGAAAUUUACAAAAAAAAAACAUAAAUUUGAGAAGAAUAUAAUAAAUAUUGAAUUCAGAAUUUAUUAGGCCGCCAUAGUGGAAAAAAAGUUGUAAAUAAAAUUUUCGAUGAAAACCAGGUUGAGUGCUACAAUUAAUGACUGUUUAUUCCAGCAAGAAGCGGGAAUGCGAAAGUGCUUAGAAGAAAUGUAGUGCUCUCGAGUUUAUAUUUUGGAUAACAGUCUUCAAUUUGGCUUCAACCUUUCCAGAAUUACACGAAAUUAAUAAAAUUGAAGACUACAGUUGUCGCCAUUGAGAAAGCUGUAAAGAAACAUGAAAUAAUAUUUCUUUAUGGUUUAAUAUUUAUGAACAACUCGAGUUUAUUAUUUUAUAUUUCAGAAAA